RNAcentral lists this ribosomal RNA (1336 nucleotides) under Culex coronator. RNAcentral describes it as "16S ribosomal RNA". The stretch from base 632 to 1336 matches the Rfam family "Archaeal large subunit ribosomal RNA", at positions 1423 to 2815 of the family's 2987-position model. The record is from RNAcentral. RNAcentral also lists the same sequence under 1 other name. Lineage: Eukaryota; Metazoa; Arthropoda; Insecta; Diptera; Culicidae.
AUAGAUUUUAUUUAUUAAUUUUAUUUAUUUAUUUAAUUUAUUUAAUAAAAAUAAUUUUAAAAUUUUAAGUUUAAGUAUUUUAUAAAGAAAAAAUAAUUUUAAUUAUAGUUUAUUUGUAUUGUGAAAGAAAAUUGAAAUAAUUUGAAAAAUUUUUAUUUUAAAAGAAAAUUUAAUUUAUUGUACCUUGUGUAUCAGGGUUUAUUAAAUAAAAAAUUAUUAUAUUAAUUUUUCUCGAAUUUUAAAGAUUUAAUUAUAUAUAAAAGUUACUGUGGAAUAAUUAUUUUUAAUAUAUAAUUAGAAAUGAAAUGUUAAUCGUUUUAAAAUAUAUCUAGUUUUUUAAGAAAUAAAUUUAAUUUAGAUUUAUAAAUUUAAAUUAUUUAAUUAUUUUAAAUAAUUUAUUUUAUAAAAUUAAUAUUUUAAGGGAUUAGCUUUAAAAUAAAUUUUUAAAUUUUAAAUUAAUUAUUUAAUAAAUAUAAGCUUAAAAAUAGCUAUUAUUAAUAAAUUUGUUAUAAUUUAUUUUAAAAAUUUAAUUAUUUAAUAUAAAAUUAAAUUAUUUAUUAAAAUAUAAAUUUUAAUAAUAAAAAUUUAUAAAUUAUGAUAAAAUUAGUAUAUAAAAUUUUUAUAAAUAAUUAUUUAUGAAAGGUUUAAAUAAGGAAUUCGGCAAAAUAUAUAUUCACCUGUUUAUCAAAAACAUGUCUUUUUGAAUUAAAUUUAAAGUCUAACCUGCCCACUGAUAUAAAUUAAAGGGCCGCAGUAUUUUGACUGUGCGAAGGUAGCAUAAUCACUAGUCUUUUAAUUGGAGGCUUGUAUGAAUGGUUGAAUGAGAUAUAUACUGUCUUUUUUAAAAUUAUAUAGAAUUUUAUUUUUUAGUUAAAAAGCUAAAAUAAAAUUAAAGGACGAGAAGACCCUAUAGAUCUUUAUUUUUGUUAUUUAUAAAUUAAAAAGAAUUUUAAAAUUUAUAAUUUAAUAAAAAAUUUUAUUGGGGUGAUAUUAAAAUUUAAAAAACUUUUAAGAUUUAUUAACAUUAAUAUAUGAAUAAAUGAUCCAGUUUUAUUGAUUAAAAAUUUAAGUUACCUUAGGGAUAACAGCGUAAUUUUUUUUUAGAGUUCAUAUCGACAAAAAAGAUUGCGACCUCGAUGUUGGAUUAAGAGUUAUUUUUAGGUGUAGAAGUUUAAAGUUUAGGUCUGUUCGACCUUUGAAUUCUUACAUGAUCUGAGUUCAAACCGGCGUAAGCCAGGUUGGUUUCUAUCCUUAAUUAAUUAUUAUAUUAUAGUACGAAAGGACCUAAUAUAAAAAAUAUAGAUUUUAAUAAUAUGAUUAAUAUUAAUAUUAGAUA